RNAcentral lists this ribosomal RNA (441 nucleotides) under uncultured bacterium. Its description in RNAcentral is "partial 16S ribosomal RNA". It matches the Rfam family "Bacterial small subunit ribosomal RNA", at positions 338 to 795 of the family's 1533-position model. The record is from RNAcentral.
CCUACGGGAGGCAGCAGUGGGGGAUAUUGGACAAUGGGGGGAACCCUGAUCCAGCGACGCCGCGUGAGUGAAGAAGUAUCUCGGUAUGUAAAGCUCUAUCAGCAGGGAAGAAGAAAUGACGGUACCUGAAGAAAAAGCAUCGGCAAACACCGUGCCAGCAGCCGCGGUAAGACGGGGGAUGCGCGCGUUAUCCGGAUUUAUUGGGUUUAAAGGGUGCGUAGGCGGGUUCUCAAGUCGGCGGUAAAGUCGUGGAGCUCAACUCCAUCCAGCCGUUGAAACUGAUGAGCUUGAGUGGGCGAGAAGUAUGCGGAAUGCGUGGUGUAGCGGUGAAAUGCAUAGAUAUCACGCAGAACUCCGAUUGCGAAGGCAGCAUACCGGCGCCCGACUGACGCUGAAGCACGAAAGCGUGGGUAUCGAACAGGAUUAGAUACCCGUGUAGUC